CCUACGGGCGGCAGCAGUGAGGAAUAUUGGUCAAUGGGCGCGAGCCUGAACCAGCCAAGUCGCGUGAGGGAAGACGGUCCUAUGGAUUGUAAACCUCUUUUGUCGGGGAGCAAAAGACGCCACGCGUGGCGUUCCGAGCGUACCCGAAGAAAAGCAUCGGCUAACUCCGUGCCAGCAGCCGCGGUAAUACGGAGGAUGCGAGCGUUAUCCGGAUUUAUUGGGUUUAAAGGGUGCGCAGGCGGAAGAUCAAGACAGCGGUAAAAUUGAGAGGCUCAACCUCUUCGAGCCGUUGAAACUGGUUGUCUUGAGUGAGCGAGAAGUAGGCGGAAUGCGUGGUGUAGCGGUGAAAUGCAUAGAUAUCACGCAGAACUCCGAUUGCGAAGGCAGCAUACCGGAGCGCAACUGACGCUCAUGCACGAAAGUGUGGGUAUCGAACAGGAUUAGAUACCCCAGUAGUC
This 458-nucleotide ribosomal RNA is filed under the name uncultured bacterium. RNAcentral's name for it is "partial 16S ribosomal RNA". It matches the Rfam family "Bacterial small subunit ribosomal RNA", at positions 338 to 795 of the family's 1533-position model. The record is from RNAcentral.